UUACAUAGAGAUAGUCACAAAUAAUAACUUAUACAGAUUUGAUCACAAAUAGUCACACUUUUUAACUUAUCCCAUACUAAUCGAAUACCUCCAUCCCACCACGCUCAACCAUCGUUAGCACCAUGUAAGUCUCCUCCUCCACAGAAAACCACCACAUCACCCAAAUUGCCUCCAUCCAUACAAAUGACACAUAUAGAUUUCCCUAAAAAUGAAUAUGGUUUUGCGCCACCACCUCUAUACAUUCCGCUGGAGCUUCUCUCAAAGGCAAAAGAGAUUGGCCAAAUCUUUUGCAAUCGCCACCACCUCCACAGUAAAAAAGGUAAGAAGAUCCCCAAUUGACUGUAUAACAUCCUAUCGAAGCAAAAAUU
RNAcentral lists this long non-coding RNA (368 nucleotides) under Olea europaea (common olive). Its description in RNAcentral is "long non-coding RNA (OEUR_LNC010175)". The record is from RNAcentral. Lineage: Eukaryota; Viridiplantae; Streptophyta; Magnoliopsida; Lamiales; Oleaceae.